GUAGCAACUGGAGACUACUCCUUUAUUUUUGUUUGAAUCCAUUAUUUAUUUAUAAUUUGCUUUUUUACUCCUACUUUCUUUCAGGUAGCGGUAUUGAUCGAGAUUGAAGACCUGCUUUUGAUAUUUUUUGAGUGAUGUAUUUGUUGAGUGAUAAGACUAUAUUUAUAGGCCUUUAUCAAUAAUUUUAUUCUAUAUUUAAUCUCCUUAUGUAACUUAUUUAAUGUAACCACAGAAAAUCGGGACGUUUAUAAAACUUGGGGAACCAAAUUAGCUAUAACAUUAACAUUUUUUCUUAUAUUCGAGAAGUUUUCUUUAAAAUUUACGUUGCUCGGUUACUCUGGGGCUACAAUCCGAGCGAGAAAAUCUCAAGUACCUUCCCCGGAUUUGGAACGUCGCCGGUGUUACUGUAUUUUCCGGGACAAAAAGUAUAUAUGGCGCAGAAUUUCACUUAUUCUGCAAUAUGAGUUUCCUUCUGACACAUAGGAACAAGUUGUAAAUUAGUACUCCAGUUCAUGAGACCAAAGACAAUUUGGUUCUUUAAAUAAAAAUCUGGGGACGGGUAACACGGGAGGCGUGGGAAAAAUUUGACCUAAGCACCAGCUCAUUACGGUGUUAAUGUUAGAAACUGGCUGAACGAGCGAAUCCGGGAUGGAUGGAUUGGAAGAGGUGGUCCUAUUCCGUGGCCACCCCCUUCCCUGGAUUUCAAUCCAUUGGAUUACAUUUUUGGGGUCGUAUAAGAGAUAUAGCAUAUAUGCAACAGAAGUCGACAGCGAGGAGGUGUUGCGCAAAAGAAUACCUUUGGCAGGAAAUCAAAUUCGACAAAAUAAUUUCGAAAUUUCACGUCCCUCACAUGCAAUUAGCCGUAUGCCUUCGUGAGCAAGGAAAUCUUUUUGAGCACCUUCUUUAAAAUGUCAAGUUUAUAAUUUUUAUUACAAUAAUUAGCUUUACAGUUGAUAGUUUGGUUUGACUUUUGUUAAUAAAAUUAUUAAUAAGAACAAUCCAAGUAGAAACUGUUUUUUACCAACAAUGAACAAAAUUGAAAGCUGUCGAAUAAUAGACAUUUAAUUUUUAUUUACCCAGCAACACAA
Molecule: long non-coding RNA, 1088 nt
Organism: Cylas formicarius (sweet potato weevil)
Lineage: Eukaryota; Metazoa; Arthropoda; Insecta; Coleoptera; Brentidae
Exons: 4
Source: RefSeq, a predicted model, not a curated record